This 466-nucleotide ribosomal RNA is filed under the name uncultured bacterium. RNAcentral describes it as "partial 16S ribosomal RNA". It matches the Rfam family "Bacterial small subunit ribosomal RNA", at positions 28 to 507 of the family's 1533-position model. The record is from RNAcentral.
GAUGAACGCUGGCGGCGUGCUUAACACAUGCAAGUCGAACGAUGAAGCCCAGCUUGCUGGGUGGAUUAGUGGCGAACGGGUGAGUAACACGUGAGUAACCUGCCCUUAACUCUGGGAUAAGCCUGGGAAACUGGGUCUAAUACCGGAUAGGAGCGUCCACCGCAUGGUGGGUGUUGGAAAGAUUUAUCGGUUUUGGAUGGACUCGCGGCCUAUCAGCUUGUUGGUGAGGUAAUGGCUAACCAAGGCGACGACGGGUAGCCGGCCUGAGAGGGUGACCGGCCACACUGGGACUGAGACACGGCCCAGACUCCUACGGGAGGCAGCAGUGGGGAAUAUUGCACAAUGGGCGCAAGCCUGAUGCAGCGACGCCGCGUGAGGGAUGACGGCCUUCGGGUUGUAAACCUCUUUCAGUAGGGAAGAAGCGAAAGUGACGGUACCUGCAGAAGAAGCACCGGCUAACUACGUG